RNAcentral lists this ribosomal RNA (383 nucleotides) under uncultured fungus. Its description in RNAcentral is "eukaryotic LSU rRNA". The stretch from base 1 to 113 matches the Rfam family "5.8S ribosomal RNA", at positions 42 to 154 of the family's 154-position model. Lineage: Eukaryota; Fungi. The record is from RNAcentral.
AACGCAGCGAAGGGCGAUAAGUAAUGUGAAUUGCAGAAUUCAGUGAAUCAUCGAAUCUUUGAACGCACCUUGCGCUCCUUGGUAUUCCGAGGAGCAUGCCUGUUUGGGUGUCAUGAAAUUCUCAACUGCCCCAGGCUUUGUGGCUUGUGGGUGAAGUUGGACUUGGAGAUAUGCUGGCGCAUGAAUGGGCUUUAUGCCCUGUUGUGCUUGUCGGCUCCUCUUGAAUGCAUGAGCUUUCCAAUCCUUGGCAAAGUAUCGUCGAUGUGAUAAUUAUCUAUGUCGCCUGAGAAAGCCGAAAAGGGGAAAUCUUUGAUCACGCUGGGGUGACCCCCUCGUCUGACACAUUCGACCUCAAAUCAGGUAGGACUACCCGCUGAACUUAA